GGGGAUAUAGUCCAGUUUGGUUAAGAUACGAGGUUUGGGACUUCGUGACCGCGGUUCAAAUCCGCGUAUCCCCA
Molecule: transfer RNA, 74 nt
Filed under: Candidatus Pacearchaeota archaeon
Lineage: Archaea; Nanobdellati
Description: tRNA-Pro
Rfam family: tRNA
About the family: Transfer RNA (tRNA) molecules are approximately 80 nucleotides in length.
Source: RNAcentral